ACGUUUCUGUGAUUUUGAUGUACUGAACAAUUAUAAUCUUGUCAGAUUUUCUUUGGGAAAGAUUAUUAUUAUUUGGACGCUUGAAAAAGUAAACGUUUGUCUGCCGAAGACAAUCACGUGGUUUAAGGCCAUGUGCUUCCCUAGUAUCAACAGUGCCGAGGACGGCGCCAGUGAAAGGCAGGCGGUUUGCCGGAGCAACAAAGAGUCUUGAUUUUUAGAGGCAUGCAGGUUUUAAAGAAAGAAAACAGUGUUAUAAAGAAAGAAAAAGAUUGCAGAUGACACAGAGGGUUCAGGAACCAUAAAUUUUAUGUUGGUGUUUGAACUUCACCCUGAUAGACUUUGAGCACAUCAUAAGUUUUAGACCUAUGGACGAAAAUCUGGCAGUUGGAUGAUAAGGAAAACACAGCCUUGAUAAAUAUCAGAGAAGUCUCCUUAGAAGAGUGUGCCGGUCUGGACAAAAAGUUGCAAUGUGAAUAACUUGGAAGAAAAAAGAGUCAUGUUAAAUUUCAGAGAAUUCUUGAUGAAAGAUUGCAUGUGUUGUUCCUGUUCCGUGAACUUUGUCUUUUUAACAUUAUUUAACACUUCAUUUGAAAUGAUGCAUUUUUGAUACAUUUUCAUUAUUGAAAUAUUUACAUUUGAUACUCUAUUUAACCAUUGGGCCAAGAAAGAUGAAUACUCAUGUGGUAUCAUUGUCAGAUAGGGUAGAUUCAAGUUUGUACAUAUCAUGACCCCCUGGAUGUAGAGUGGGGCCACACUGAGAGUUCAAACUUUUAGGGAAAAAGGCCACAGUCAAAAAUAUAUAAACAUCCUUAUUUAGUGUACGUUCAAUUUUGUCAAAUCAUACCCCUCCCUUUUAGGGGUAUGUCAGGACCAUUUAUGCAUUUAAGUUUUUCAAUACUAAUCUGAUUUUUGCUUUUUUCUUAGCCACAUUGCAUAGGUGAACCAGUUGGUCCCUGAGCCUCUUGUAAAUCUGUAUAUUAUAUAUAUUUACCAAAAUAUUGAGGCAUUUUCUAUUUGAAUAUUUUGCAAUGAGAUUUUAAAAAAAAUUUCCUGAAAGUAAUUUGCACAUUUAUUUUAUUUAAAGUUGUCUGGUAAUGAUGUGUUAUUGAAUGGAUAUUAAAUAGUGAUUUUUUCUGGUGUUCUUUUGGACUUGAAUGACAAACAUAUAAUGGAAGGCAUGUUGGAAAAGUUGGAGCUCUGUCAUAUACAUGUGAUAAUUGUAGACCCAAAUAUUGUUCACCAACAUUGGAAAUACAUGUUCAAAAUAUGGGAGCUACUAUAUGGCCUAUAUACUGUAUGUGUACUUAAAAU
This is a long non-coding RNA of Saccostrea cuccullata (small rock oyster), 1311 nucleotides long. RefSeq lists it as uncharacterized. The transcript has 3 exons. The record is from RefSeq and is a predicted model, not a curated record. NCBI's taxonomy places the organism in Eukaryota, Metazoa, Mollusca, Bivalvia, Ostreida, Ostreidae.